CUGUAGUUUAUGCAAAGAGCAACUUAGAAAGAGGUGAAGAAAGAAGAAGAUGUCAAACCAUACCUUAUCACCUCAGAAUUUUACGUUUAAUAACCAAGUGGAUUACUUUACUUGGUUGGACCUGUUUUUAUAGCUAUAUUUCAACCUUUCCUCUGAUAGCUUUUAACGAUUGGAUUUCUCGAGUCUACUUUCCAUGCUUUGACCAUUUCAUUUGGCAGAGGGUUCUGGGUUUUGGAGAAUUCUUCAUUAAAUUGAAUUUUUUGUGAUUAAAUUUCUGGCUUAAGUAGCGGUUUUUGAGGUUGUGGUCUCCAAAAAAAGUUGAUGCAGGUUUCCUUUCUAUGAACCUGAUUUUGGAUGGGGAAAGCCACCAUGGGUGACUUCAGGUACGGAGUUCAAGAAUCUGAUUGUGUUAAUGGAUACACGAGAUGGAGAUGGCAUAGAAGUAUCCUUGAAUCUCAAGGAAGAAGACCUGGCCAUAUUUGAAAGCACUAAGGAGCUGCUUGAGGUGCUAAUGUGCCUCCACCAUUCAAUUCAUUUGAAUCUACUGGUCUCCCAUAUGAGAUUCAGAGGUUUUGAGCUUCCACAAAUUUCAAGGCGUUCAAACUUUACUCUCGAAUGAAAUGGAUCAAUUUGUUUGCAGCUUGAAGAUUUUUACUUUCACCAAGUUUAUCUUCAACUCCAGGCUUUGAAAUACAAUGUUGUUCUAGGCUGUCAUCUAGAUUCCCAAUCACAUGUUUCCACGGCGGUUUCAAAGAGGUCCUUGAGACGAUCAGAUGCUGUACUCAGCAGCCACCAUUAUAAUAAGGUAAUUACUAUAAAUACAAAUGGAUGGUGCAUACAAAUUACUAUAACUUCAAGAAAAAACAAAACAGACCCAGAUACCAAUUCACUUCAGUCCUCAAACAUCUCGAUCCAUUCCAGCUUUUUCUCUUCCUUGCAUGGAGAGCUGUACAAGGCACUUUCUGCAAUUUAUUGCAAAAUAAUGUCAGUUAUCCCUUCUUUGGAUACAACUCAAACUGGGAGCAAGUCUGGUAUCCAAGCUUUACGUUCGUUGCAUGUAGCACAUGAAAAGUCUAAGAAUGUAGUAAGCUUUAUUUGGCAGGUAUUCCCUCAAUAGUUAAGGAAACAAUUAUUUUCCCCUUUCUGCUUUGAAGGAAUAGAAUUCUCUUUAGAUGUUUAAAUUUGUUUCAUUCAUGAUGAGGUUGUGUAUAAAUUGCAUUUGCAUUUGUAACUCAGUUUUUGACUCGAACAUUGUUUAUAAAGAUUGCAGGUGCAUAAUUUUUCAUAUAA
This is an RNA transcript of Pyrus x bretschneideri (Chinese white pear), 1290 nucleotides long. It is a transcript of the gene named acyltransferase Pun1, with no coding region annotated. NCBI's taxonomy places the organism in Eukaryota, Viridiplantae, Streptophyta, Magnoliopsida, Rosales, Rosaceae. The transcript is spliced from 10 exons. The record is from RefSeq and is a predicted model, not a curated record.